GACGAACGCUGGCGGCGUGCUUAACACAUGCAAGUCGAACGGAAAUUCCCUGCUUUUUUGGCGUGCUCGAGUUGCGAACGGGUGAGUAACACGUGAGUAACCUGCCCGUGACUUUGGGAUAACUUCAGGUAACUGGGGCUAAUACCUGAUAGGUGCUCCUGCUUCAUGGUGGGGGGUGGAAAGUUUCGGCGGUUGGUGUUCGACUCGCGGCUUAUCAGCUUGCUGGUUGGGUAGUGGCUUACCAAGGCUUCGACGGGUAGCCGGCCUGAGAGGGUGACCGGCGACAUUGGGACUGAGAUAGGGACCAGAAUGCUACGGGCGGCAGCAGUGGGGAAUAUUGCGCAGUGGGCGGACGCCUGAUGCAGCAACGUCGGGUGCGGGAUGACGGGCUUCGGGUUGUAAACCGCUUUCGGCUGUGACGACGCGGGCGUGACGGUAAUGGGUAAAGAAGCCCCGGCUAACUACGUG
RNAcentral lists this ribosomal RNA (468 nucleotides) under uncultured bacterium. Its description in RNAcentral is "partial 16S ribosomal RNA". It matches the Rfam family "Bacterial small subunit ribosomal RNA", at positions 28 to 507 of the family's 1533-position model. The record is from RNAcentral.